This 460-nucleotide ribosomal RNA is filed under the name uncultured bacterium. RNAcentral describes it as "partial 16S ribosomal RNA". It matches the Rfam family "Bacterial small subunit ribosomal RNA", at positions 338 to 795 of the family's 1533-position model. The record is from RNAcentral.
CCUACGGGGGGCAGCAGUGAGGAAUAUUGGUCAAUGGACGAGAGUCUGAACCAGCCAAGUAGCGUGAAGGAUGACUGCCCUAUGGGUUGUAAACUUCUUUUAUAUGGGAAUAAAAUGUUCCACGUGUGGGAUUUUGUAUGUACCAUAUGAAUAAGGAUCGGCUAACUCCGUGCCAGCAGCCGCGGUAAUACGGAGGAUCCGAGCGGUAUCCGGAUUUAUUGGGUUUAAGGGGAGCGUAGGUGGAUUGUUAAGUCAGUUGUGAAAGUUUGCGGCUCAACCGUAAAAUUGCAGUUGAAACUGGCAGUCUUGAGUACAGUAGAGGUGGGCGGAAUUCGUGGUGUAGCGGUGAAAUGCUUAGAUAUCACGAAGAACUCAGAUUGCGAAGGCAGUUCACUGGACUGCAACUGACACUGAGGCUCGAAAGUGUGGGUAUCAAACAGGAUUAGAUACCCUUGUAGUC